Molecule: ribosomal RNA, 253 nt
Filed under: uncultured bacterium
Lineage: Bacteria
Description: partial 16S ribosomal RNA
Rfam family: Bacterial small subunit ribosomal RNA
Source: RNAcentral
UACGUAGGUGGCAAGCGUUGUCCGGAAUUAUUGGGCGUAAAGCGCGCGCAGGCGGUCCUUUAAGUCUGAUGUGAAAGCCCACGGCUCAACCGUGGAGGGUCAUUGGAAACUGGGGGACUUGAGUGCAGAAGAGGAGAGUGGAAUUCCACGUGUAGCGGUGAAAUGCGCAGAUAUCAGGAGGAACACCGAUUGCGAAGGCAGCUCGCUGGGACGUAACUGACGCUGAGACGCGAAAGCGUGGGGAGCAAACAGG